RNAcentral lists this transfer RNA (77 nucleotides) under Bacteroidota bacterium. Its description in RNAcentral is "Bacteroidetes bacterium (sediment metagenome) tRNA-Arg". It matches the Rfam family "tRNA". Rfam says of the family: Transfer RNA (tRNA) molecules are approximately 80 nucleotides in length. Their secondary structure includes four short double-helical elements and three loops (D, anti-codon, and T loops). Further hydrogen bonds mediate the characteristic L-shaped molecular structure. tRNAs have two regions of fundamental functional importance: the anti-codon, which is responsible for specific mRNA codon recognition, and the 3' end, to which the tRNAs corresponding amino acid is attached (by aminoacyl-tRNA synthetases). tRNAs cope with the degeneracy of the genetic code in two manners: having more than one tRNA (with a specific anti-codon) for a particular amino acid; and 'wobble' base-pairing, i.e. permitting non-standard base-pairing at the 3rd anti-codon position. Lineage: Bacteria; Pseudomonadati; Bacteroidota. The record is from RNAcentral.
GCUCCCGUAGCUCAGGUGGAUAGAGCAUCUGCCUUCUAAGCAGAGGGUCGCAGGUUCGAGUCCUGCCGGGAGUGCCA